RNAcentral lists this ribosomal RNA (464 nucleotides) under uncultured bacterium. RNAcentral's name for it is "partial 16S ribosomal RNA". It matches the Rfam family "Bacterial small subunit ribosomal RNA", at positions 339 to 795 of the family's 1533-position model. The record is from RNAcentral.
CUACGGGAUGCUCCAGUGAGGAAUUUUGCGCAAUGGGGGAAACCCUGACGCAGCAACGCCGCGUGAGUGAAGAAGGCUUUCGGGUCGUAAAGCUCUGUCAGAUAGGAAAAAAGUUCAUAUGUAAAUAGCUUAUGAAUCUGAUGGUACUAUCAGAGGAAGCACCGGCUAACUCCGUGCCAGCAGCCGCGGUAAUACGGAGGGUGCAAGCGUUGUUCGGAAUUACUGGGCGUAAAGGGCGUGUAGGCGGUAUGGUAAGUCAGAUGUGAAAGCCCUGGGCUUAACUCAGGAAGUGCAUUUGAUACUGCCAUCCUUGAGUAUGGGAGAGGAGAGUAGAAUUCCCAGUGUAGAGGUGAAAUUCGUAGAUAUUGGGAGGAGUACCCGUGGCGAAGGCGACUCUCUGGACCAAUACUGACGCUGAGACGCGAAAGCGUGGGGAGCAAACAGGAUUAGAUACCCGGGUAGUC